UACGUAGGGGGCAAGCGUUAUCCGGAUUUACUGGGCGUAAAGGGAGCGCAGGCGGCGCGCCAAGUCUGAUGUGAAACCCCGGGGCUCAACCCCGGGCAUGCAUUGGAAACUGGCGGGCUGGAGUGCCGGAGAGGUAAGCGGAAUUCCUAGUGUAGCGGUGAAAUGCGUAGAUAUUAGGAGGAACACCAGUGGCGAAGGCGGCUUACUGGACGGCAACUGACGCUGAGGCUCGAAAGCGUGGGGAGCAAACAGG
RNAcentral lists this ribosomal RNA (253 nucleotides) under uncultured bacterium. RNAcentral describes it as "partial 16S ribosomal RNA". It matches the Rfam family "Bacterial small subunit ribosomal RNA", at positions 524 to 776 of the family's 1533-position model. The record is from RNAcentral.